UACAGAGGUCUCAAGCGUUGUUCGGAUUCAUUGGGCGUAAAGGGCGCGUAGGCGGCCUGGCAAGUGACGGGUGAAAGCCCUCGGCUCAACCGAGGAACUGCCUGUCAUACUGCCGGGCUUGAGUCCGGGAGAGGUGAGUGGAAUUCCCAGUGUAGCGGUGAAAUGCGUAGAUAUUGGGAGGAACACCAGUGGCGAAGGCGGCUCACUGGACCGGAACUGACGCUGAGGCGCGAAAGCGUGGGGAGCAAACAGG
RNAcentral lists this ribosomal RNA (253 nucleotides) under uncultured bacterium. Its description in RNAcentral is "partial 16S ribosomal RNA". It matches the Rfam family "Bacterial small subunit ribosomal RNA", at positions 524 to 776 of the family's 1533-position model. The record is from RNAcentral.